This 465-nucleotide ribosomal RNA is filed under the name Vreelandella stevensii. Its description in RNAcentral is "partial 16S ribosomal RNA". It matches the Rfam family "Bacterial small subunit ribosomal RNA", at positions 338 to 795 of the family's 1533-position model. Lineage: Bacteria; Pseudomonadati; Pseudomonadota; Gammaproteobacteria; Oceanospirillales; Halomonadaceae. The record is from RNAcentral.
CCUACGGGGGGCUGCAGUGGGGAAUAUUGGACAAUGGGCGAAAGCCUGAUCCAGCCAUGCCGCGUGUGUGAAGAAGGCCUUCGGGUUAUAAAGCACUUUCAGUGGGGAAGAAAGCCUUGGGGCUAAUACCCUCGAGGAAGGACAUCACCCACAGAAGAAGCACCGGCUAACUCCGUGCCAGCAGCCGCGGUAAUACGGAGGGUGCGAGCGUUAAUCGGAAUUACUGGGCGUAAAGCGCGCGUAGGCGGUCUGAUAAGCCGGUUGUGAAAGCCCCGGGCUCAACCUGGGAACGGCAUCCGGAACUGUCAGGCUAGAGUGCAGGAGAGGAAGGUAGAAUUCCCGGUGUAGCGGUGAAAUGCGUAGAGAUCGGGAGGAAUACCAGUUGCGAAGGCGGCCUUCUGGGCUGACACUGACGCUGAGGUGCGAAAGCGUGGGUAGCAAACAGGAUUAGAUACCCCGGUAGUC